GGAUUGCCUCAGUAACGGCGAGUGAAGCGGCAACAGCUCAAAUUUGAAAUCUGGCCCUUCCAGGGUCCGAGUUGUAAUUUGUAGAGGGGAUUUCGGGUGCGGCGCCGGUCUAAGUCCCUUGGAACAGGGCGUCAUAGAGGGUGAGAAUCCCGUAUGUGACCGGCGAUCAACCCUAUGUGAAACCCCUUCGACGAGUCGAGUUGUUUGGGAAUGCAGCUCAAAAUGGGUGGUAAAUUUCAUCUAAAGCUAAAUACCGGCCAGAGACCGAUAGCGCACAAGUAGAGUGAUCGAAAGAUGAAAAGCACUUUGGAAAGAGAGUUAAAAAGUACGUGAAAUUGUUGAAAGGGAAGCGCUUGCAACCAGACCUGCACCCGGGCGAUCAGCGGUCCUUUUGGGACCGUGCACUCGUCCGUGAACAGGCCAGCAUCGGUUUCGGCGGCCGGAUAAAGGCUUGAAGAAUGUGGCUCCCCUCGGGGAGUGUUAUAGCUUCCCGCGCAAUACGGCCAGCCGGGACCGAGGACCGCGCUUCGGCUAGGAUGCUGGCGUAAUGGUUGUAAGCGACCCGUCUUGAAACACGGACCAAGGAGUCUAACAUCUAUGCAAGUGUUUGGGUGUCAAACCCACGCGCGGAAUGAAAGUGAACGGAGGUGGGAACCCUCAAGGGCGCACCAUCGACCGAUCCAGAUGUCUUCGGAUGGAUUUGAGUAUGAGCAUAGCUGUUGGGACCCGAAAGAUGGUGAACUAUGCCUGAAUAGGGUGAAGCCAGAGGAAACUCUGGUGGAGGCUCGCAGCGGUUCUGACGUGCAAAUCGAUCGUCAAAUUUGGGUAUAGGGGCGAAAGACUAAUCGAACCAUCCCUGGGGUUAUAUAGUUAGAUUGUCGUAACUAACUUCCCACGCUGCUAGGUGGUUAAUUAGAGCAUUAUUGGAAAUUAUGCUCUCAGCCUUUCGAGGCGACAAUGCUAGCUGCAUGAAUUUCUUUAGGGCAACCUCAUAUGAUUUGACAUGCUGCAGUCCGCCGUACCUUAUAAGGACGGCGCUGUCCACAGACCAAACAGCAUUGGCCAGGCGCUGUAACGGCCCUGGUUUUGAAAUGGCCGAGUCCUACUCCUUGUGGAGUCGGUUUCGAGAAUACUUUGCGAAUGGUUCGGAUUCUUGCCCCUGGCGGUUGAAUUCCCCAAGGUGGAAUAAUUGGCUCUUCGUGGGUUCGAUCUUCUCGAAACCUCUCAAGUAUUGACGCUAGUAGCUGGUUCCUGCCGAAGUUUCCCUCAGGAUAGCAGUAACGUUUUCAGUUUUAUGAGGUAAAGCGAAUGAUUAGAGGCCUUGGGGUUGAAACANCCUUAACCUAUUCUCAAACUUUAAAUAUGUAAGAAGUCCUUGUUACUUAGUUGAACGUGGACAUUUGAAUGCACCGUUACUAGUGGGCCAUUUUUGGUAAGCAGAACUGGCGAUGCGGGAUGAACCGAACGUGGGGUUAAGGUGCCGGAAUGUACGCUCAUCAGACACCACAUCGAUAUAAUAGACUUCUCGGGUCUGGCUACAAGUUUUCCGGGGGAUUACAAUUGUGGUGUCUGUUGCCCUCGAAAAAGAACUCACAUUUCGAGGCGUAGUCUUGAACUUCAAGGCAAGGUUUUCCAUCUGUAAGGGCUCACUUUUCCCAAAGUUUACCUUCUGCCGUCGAACGGCCCACAGAUCAAGCGAAGGCCGGCGGUUGGUUUUUACCGUUGAAGAUAUGAUCGGCCUCUAGGGCUCAUAAACCUGGAGAUAUAGUGCAAAAGGUGUUGAUUCAUCUAGACAGCCGGACGGUGGCCAUGGAAGUCGGAAUCCGCUAAGGAAUGUGUAACAACUCACCGGCCGAAUGAAUCAGCCCUGAAAAUGGAUGGCGCUCAAGCGUGCUACCCAUACCCCACCGCCAGGGUAGAAACGAUGCCCU
This 1931-nucleotide ribosomal RNA is filed under the name Protoblastenia rupestris. RNAcentral's name for it is "partial large subunit ribosomal RNA". It matches the Rfam family "Eukaryotic large subunit ribosomal RNA", at positions 72 to 1375 of the family's 3401-position model. Lineage: Eukaryota; Fungi; Ascomycota; Lecanoromycetes; Lecanorales; Psoraceae. The record is from RNAcentral.